This 69-nucleotide transfer RNA is filed under the name Tropostreptus sigmatospinus. Its description in RNAcentral is "tRNA-Asn". Lineage: Eukaryota; Metazoa; Arthropoda; Diplopoda; Spirostreptida; Spirostreptidae. The record is from RNAcentral.
UUAGCUAAAGCCAAAAUUAGGCAUGUUACUGUUAAUAACCAAUUGGAUUAUCUUACAAUCCUUGCUAAG